Molecule: ribosomal RNA, 236 nt
Filed under: uncultured Candidatus Saccharibacteria bacterium
Lineage: Bacteria; Candidatus Saccharimonadota
Description: partial 16S ribosomal RNA
Rfam family: Bacterial small subunit ribosomal RNA
Source: RNAcentral
UAAGUGAAUAGUGAAAUCUGGCGGCUCAACCGUACAGACUAUUAUUCAAACUGGCAAACUCGAGAAUGGUAGAGGUAACUGGAAUUUCUGAAGUAGGGGUAAUAUCCGUAGAUAUCAGAAGGAACACCAAUGGCGUAGGCAGGUUACUGGACCAUUUCUGACACUGAGGCACGAAAGCGUGGGGAGCGAACCGGAUUAGAUACCCGGGUAGUCCACGCCGUAAACGAUGGAUACUA